AGUAACACGUGGAUAACCUACCUAUAAGACUGGGAUAACUUCGGGAAACCGGAGCUAAUACCGGAUAAUAUUUUGAACCGCAUGAUUCAAAAGUGAAAGACGGUCUUGCUGUCACUUAUAGAUGGAUCCGCGCUGCAUUAGCUAGUUGGUAAGGUAACGGCUUACCAAGGCGACGAUGCAUAGCCGACCUGAGAGGGUGAUCGGCCACACUGGAACUGAGACACGGUCCAG
Molecule: ribosomal RNA, 231 nt
Filed under: uncultured Staphylococcus sp.
Lineage: Bacteria; Bacillati; Bacillota; Bacilli; Caryophanales; Staphylococcaceae
Description: partial 16S ribosomal RNA
Rfam family: Bacterial small subunit ribosomal RNA
Source: RNAcentral